This is a long non-coding RNA of Musa acuminata AAA Group (dessert banana), 976 nucleotides long. RefSeq lists it as uncharacterized. The transcript is spliced from 4 exons. NCBI's taxonomy places the organism in Eukaryota, Viridiplantae, Streptophyta, Magnoliopsida, Zingiberales, Musaceae. The record is from RefSeq and is a predicted model, not a curated record.
UGACGCCGCUGCUCUCCGUCGCCGGGAGCUCAAGGUGGGACGCCGCAACCGACCGAUCGGGCGGCGGUGAGACGAUGGGGACUCUGGGGAGGGCGAUCUACACCGUCGGGUACUGGAUCCGGGGGACCGGCCAGGCCAUCGAUCGCCUCGGCUGCUGCCUCCAGGGGAACUACCUCUUCCAAUAACAACUGUCAAGGCAUCGGGCACUCAUGAACAUGUUUGACAAAGUACCAAAAGUCCACGAGGAUGUAUUUGUGGCUCCAAGUGCAUCUGUUAUUGGAGAUGUUGAAGUGGGCACAGAUCCUCGAUUUGGUAUGGAUGCGUUCCGAGAGGUCAUGCCUACAUCUUGAACAUAAAUUUGACAGGUCAUAGUGCUGUCUUACAUGGAUGCACUGUUGAGGAUGAAGCAUUUGUUGGUAUGGGAGCUGUCCUACUUGAUAGGGUGGUUGUGGAAAAGCAUGGAAUGGUUGCUGGCGGAGCCCUUGUAAGACAGAACACAAAAAUUCCAUCAGGAGAGGUAUGGGGAGGUAACCCAGCAAGAGUCCUCAAGAAGCUCUCAGAAGAAGAGAUAGCCUUCAUUUCUCAGUCAGCAGCCAAUUACUGCAAUCUGGCCCGAGCUUAUGCUGUUGAGAAUGCCAAACCAUUCGAUGAAAUUGAGUUUGAGAAGAUGCUUCGGAAGAGGUUUGCUCGCCGGGACGAAGAGUAUGGUUCGCUCGGAGUUGAUCGUCCCUGACAACAUCCUACCUGACAAAUCUCCCAAGCCUUCUCAAUAGGUUUAGGUCUGGUGGGAUGGUCAACCUUCGUCACUGGACUGGUGUUGAGAGAAAUGUUUGAUGUAGUCAGCUUAUGUUUCGUUUUUCAUCCCAAUAAUUCUUAGACCGAUCUCUUUGAGGAUUGACACAGUCUUUUUCUUUGUUGUAAUGUACUUAUUGUGUAAAUGCCUCACAUAUCAAAUCAAGUUAUUUAGUUUCUCCAA